This is a non-coding RNA of Aegilops tauschii subsp. strangulata, 1662 nucleotides long. NCBI's taxonomy places the organism in Eukaryota, Viridiplantae, Streptophyta, Magnoliopsida, Poales, Poaceae. The record is from RefSeq and is a predicted model, not a curated record.
ACGCACGCGCAGGCAGCCAGGCAGGUGAGUCCGCCGCCGCCGCCCGUCCCAGUCCGCCCGGCCGCCCGCCCCGUCGCCUGCGCCCCCCGGCCUCCGCCCUCCGCCACUCGCCCGCGCCCUCAGCCCUCCGGCGGUCCGGCCUCCGCCGCUCGCCCGUCCGGCCGGUUGCUGCUCCGCGCCUUCGCCGCUCGCCGGCUCGUGCCGCCGCCGUCCCCUUGCUGGCCCUGCUGCUCGCCGGCUCGCCCGCUCUGCUCCGGCCUCUCCUGGCUCCUGGUCUGCUGGAUUGGUAAAUGAAUAAAAGAUGAAGCGGUAUUUUUCAUCCGUGGCAGCAACAGAAGUGUCUACACCCGGGGUUUUAGCCGGAGGAAAUGAAGGGGCUGAGAGGAGUGAAGCAACUCCAGAAAAUGAAACCAAUGCAGAAAUGGGACCACCGCCUUUGACUUCAAACAACCCGCCUUCAAUCUCAACUCGAGAAAGUAACAUUCCAGAUUCUGCUCGUGGUCAACUGAGGGAAGGUGAUAUUCAACCUGAUCCUGGUCUUAGGAAACCUAUUGAAAGCUUAGAUCCGGACAUUAGAGAUGUCGCUAGAAGGAUGUAUGUAAAUAUGGGUCCAUGCCAACCAACUGGGCAUAAAUUUAAAAAAGAAACUAGAGGAACAUCUUUGAAAAAGAGAUCCUUUCAAGCUAAAUGGUUCGGGAUGAUACAAUACCCGCUUGGGGCCGUUCAAGGGGGCGUGGUGGUCAAAUGUGGAAAGAGCUUUCUCAGCUAUGAGUAUUAUCAAGACUGAAUUGAGGAAUAAGAUGGGUGAUGAUUGGUUGAAUUAUUCCAUGGUGUGCAAUAUUGAGCGAGAAAUAUUUGCAAAGGUUGAUGAUGAUGCUAUUAUAUAUCGCUUUCAAGCCUAUAGAUUUCGCAAAGGAACUUUACCUCCUCGUAGUAGUGUUGGCUCUUCUUCCACCGUUGAUCAAGUUAUGGAAGACACUGAUGAAGCAAACCAUUGAUUUGGUACUCUUUUUACUGCACGUACUGUUUGUAGUUCUUGUCAUUUUUUAUCUAUUUUGGGUACAAUUGAGCCAUAUUUGAGGUAUUCUUUUGAGGUAGUUGUAGCUUGAUGGAUUUUAAGUUUUUCUCUCGCGACAAAAAAGAAAAAAUUUGGGCCCGGGGCUUGCUCCAAUCCUGGAUCCGCCACUGGCGAUGGAUAUGUCCAGGGGUGAGGCAGGUGGAUCGAUGAUAGCACGAGAUGAUCAGGGAUCCUUCCUCGCAACCAGAUUUAGACACUACCCAGGGACUACUUCUCCGCUGAUAGGUGAAGCUUUGGCGUGUCGGGACGCGAUGGUAUUUGCGAUGGAGCAAGGAUGGACCAACGUUCAAGUUGAAACAGACUGUCAAGUCUUUGCCAAUGAGUGGAAGAAUACAAGAGACCUGUCUGAUGUGGGUCUCAUUAUUAGAGAGACGAAGGUCUAUCUCUCAUCUUUCCAGGGAUUCGAGUUGUAUCAUAUUAGUAGAGACGCCAAUGGUCUGGCGUGCAAAUUAGCUCGGCAUGCUCUGCUGUUAGGCAUGGGCGAUGUUACUUUCAGUUAUAUCCCUGAGUUCUUGAGUGACGAAAUGCACUAUGUACGAUGGAGGAAUGAAUAAAUGCCUUUAAGGGUCGUACUUCAAUAAAAA